AUGGACUUAUUGGUAAAGUACUUGCCUUGCAAGCAUGAGGACCUGAGUUCAAUCCCUAGAGCCCAUG
This 67-nucleotide transfer RNA is filed under the name Neotoma lepida (desert woodrat). It matches the Rfam family "tRNA". From Rfam's summary of the family: Transfer RNA (tRNA) molecules are approximately 80 nucleotides in length. Their secondary structure includes four short double-helical elements and three loops (D, anti-codon, and T loops). The record is from Rfam by way of RNAcentral. Lineage: Eukaryota; Metazoa; Chordata; Mammalia; Rodentia; Cricetidae.